RNAcentral lists this long non-coding RNA (3004 nucleotides) under Salvia miltiorrhiza (redroot sage). RNAcentral's name for it is "long non-coding RNA (SMIL_LNC010387)". Lineage: Eukaryota; Viridiplantae; Streptophyta; Magnoliopsida; Lamiales; Lamiaceae. The record is from RNAcentral.
UCGGAGUCCAAAUUUCGCAACAAGUGCUAGCGCAUCAUGUAACGGCAACCCAGAUCACGCAGCCCACCUAUGAGAUUGGAAUAGCCAACAAUGUCAACAACAACAACACACAUCUUUCUUUUUAUUGAUUUCUUAUUUGAAAAUUACAAACCACAGUCAAUAAAAAAAUUAACAAGAACACCACUUACUAAACAAUCUAACAUAACGAUAAUUGAAUUGUGCAAAUCUAGACAGUGACACAACAAAUAUAAUUAUGCACCUCUUAAGCUUCUCGACUGAGUAGUCAGAGCAGGUGAACACUCACGGCCAAAAAUAUUGGCAUAGCCAUAACAGUUGCAGACGGAUAAGGUAAGCUAAAACCUAAACGUUUUGAAGUUGUCACAUGGCCGUGUAAGACAUUUGAACAGAGAUUUAAUAUUAAAUUCCCAGCAAAAUAAAUACAAGCAACAAAGAAUUGAGAAGUACAUGGCAGGUGUGAACACAGCUCGCAACAUGCAUUAUAGAAGAAUUAAAAUUACCAUGCACCAUACUCUAAAGCAAAGACAUGGAACAAAUAAACUAAAGGUAAGUGUGCAACCGAUACAAAUGAGCCCCCAAAAAAGAAAAAUACAAAGAAAGCUCAUCAGUAACCUUCUUUGAAAGCACACAUCUUCUUUUCGCCAUAACAAGAUAUCUGAAAAACAUGACCAAAGUCACAAAAUGAGAAUUCAGUAAUUUAGUUAGUGGUACAAUAAAAUAUGAAAAGAAAAUAGAGCACAAAAAUACUAUUUUGAGAACAAAGUAGGGUAGUGAUUUACAGAAGGUACAAUUAAUGGAUGAAAAGUGUUCCAGCAAACAAAUUCGAUGUGAGCAAAGACAAGCGGACCGUGAGGGCACCUGUUGAAAACCGGAAACCAAAAAUAGCAAUCUCCGUAUAACACAAAGUAACAAAUCCUUUAAAAACCUAAAGGCUAGAGGCAAUAACCCAAGUCCUAAUCCUAGAGUAAUGAAUCCCAUUCUCUAAACUUCAAAAUGAUUACUAUAACUAAACGAUCAUUGGGAAAUGACUUUUAAGUUUUAAAUACAAUGGAAGAGCGCAAAACACAUGAAAACAAAAUAUCACACCACAAAUAAAAAAUAGAACAAAACCAAGCGCACCGUUAAAUUUGAAGAAGUGGAAUAACUUUCUUGGUGUAGAAAGACAAAACGCUAAAAAACACAAAAUUAGAAAGUAAAAAUAAAUGUUGGAGAUCAUAAGAACGUAAAAUAUCCAACAGAAAAGGUGAGCAAGUCACCUAAUAGGAAAUUAGGAAUAAACUAUAGUACUCCUUAUUUAAUGAUGAAGCAUGUUUUUUUUUUUUUCAUUAGGGAAUAUCACUUCAUUUACAAUCACCAAUCCUGCUACGAAGGUAUUUCCUAAUUAAAAGUAGUUUUGCUUCAACUUUCCAAAGUUACGACCUUGUAGUUCAUUUCCAACGUCACUUAUAGAGUUCUAGUAGCUAUGCUAUUUACUUAAACCCAAUUUCAGUUACCAAUUUAUUGAAUUUGAUGAUUAUCCAGGUGGAGAGAUCAAUUAUUUGUUCAAUUGCUGUCAAAUUAUUUCAGACUCAGAAAAGGUGAGUCUAUUGUAUUGAGUUGGGCUAUAUGAUAGUAUACCUAAGAUUCUCCAGAGCUAUAGUUCUAUAUUUAUGAUGGUGUGUUAGUAUAUGAUCUAUUGGCAUAAUUUGUUGGUGUGUUUGAAAAAUUGAUGUUCCAUAGGCAAGCUCAAGUUGUUUAUACAUUUUAACAUGGACCAUAAAAACUAAUAAUACAUUUUAAUUUAUCGUGAUUUCAACGCGUAAGAGUAAAAUGCAUGUUAUGGAGACUUACUCAAGUGCAAGAUAAUGCUCACUACGCCCGUGGAGAUGUAACUCUUGAAGAAGUGAAUGUCGGUGAACGAGCACGUGUCUGAGAAUAAUUUAGAAAAAAGAAUCACAUGAAUAUUUAAAUUACACACGUGAAAAAAUCAAACAAAUCAUAUUAAUACUACUACAUUGUUUUACAAAAAUUAGUACAUGAAAAAUUAAGAAUAUCAAAGUUUAUUUAAAAUCCUAAAGCACCCGAUUAUAUUUUUGUCUAGUACUUCCAAUAUACCUCCGGAAAUUACUUCAAUUAGUAAACAUUGUAAAAGUAAAAAAUCAAACAAUAAUUAAAUCAAUUAUAUUCAAUUAAUUAAUCAAAAUAAGUUUAAGUUAAAACUCUAGGCCCAUUCCUUAAUCCUUAUCAUCAAAUCCAACAAUAUUUCAUUAUCAUCAUCUGUACUCAUGAUCCAUUCCAAACAUACACUAUUUAAAAUCCCCACAAUAUACUGCCCCUGUUCCACGGUUCUCUCUCUACUCUCUCAUUCUCGGUUGCACCCAUAGUCUCCUUUCUUUGUGUACCCUGUCAACUCUCUCUCUCUCUCACACACACACAGCUUCAUCUGUCUCUGCACUUCACAUUUGCAACAGAGAGUGAAUCUCAUCCCCAACUAUCAAAUCCCAAAUUCUUCUUCUUCUUCUCAUUCUCCCCCCCCCCCCUUCUUCUAAUUUCCGGCGAAUAACCAGAACUGUUUGUUCUCUCCAUCAAUCGGCCGUCCACCUAUAUCUCACCGCCGUUCCCUAUCGUCGACCCACUCUCCUCAGCUCGGCCCGACAAUCAGCACAAGAAAUUGAGCCACAACUCAGCCAAGGCUGGUUGUUCCCAAUCGUCGACCCACCCUGCACACCUAAGUAGCUUUCAAUGCCAACGCCGACCGGAACCCUCAACGCAAGCAACAAAGCAAGAAACCCAGCCCCAAGACAAUAGUUCUAUUGUGUUGUGGUGUGCUCAGUUUUGUGAAAAAAUUCUUGGGUUCAUCAUAAAAUUUAAUGACAAAAUGCAGGUUUACGAAAUAAAAGCUCACCUCGUUUUUUUGGUGUAAUGGAUUUCUCUAGUGUGAUUUUUGGUUGAAUUUUGAUCAGACUUUGCACUUUCACCGUUGAAUUUGGGGGAGAUUCUUACGGCA